RNAcentral lists this ribosomal RNA (379 nucleotides) under uncultured bacterium. RNAcentral's name for it is "bacterial SSU rRNA". It matches the Rfam family "Bacterial small subunit ribosomal RNA", at positions 28 to 400 of the family's 1533-position model. The record is from RNAcentral.
GACGAACGCUGGCGGCGUGCCUAACACAUGCAAGUGGAGCGACGAACCAGGCUUCGGCCUGGGGCAAAGCCGCGAACGGGUGAGUAACACGUGGGUAACCUGCCCUGAUGAUUGGGACAACCCGAGGAAACUCGGGCUAAUACCGAAUGUGCCCUCCGGCCUCAAGGCCGCUGGGGAAAGGAAGCUUCGGCCUCCGCAUCGGGAUGGGCCCGCGGCCCAUUAGCUUGUUGGUGAGGUAACGGCNCACCAAGGCGACGAUGGGUAGCUGGUCUGAGAGGACGAUCAGCCACACUGGGACUGAGACACGGCCCAGACCCCUACGGGAGGCAGCAGUGGGGAAUCUUGCGCAAUGCGCGAAAGCGUGACGCAGCAACGCCGC